RNAcentral lists this ribosomal RNA (439 nucleotides) under uncultured bacterium. RNAcentral describes it as "bacterial SSU rRNA". It matches the Rfam family "Bacterial small subunit ribosomal RNA", at positions 68 to 507 of the family's 1533-position model. The record is from RNAcentral.
GGUAUUGUUUCUUCGGAAAUGAGAGAGCGGCGUACGGGUGCGGAACACGUGUGCAACCUGCCUUAUCUGGGGGAUAGCCUUCGAAAGGAAGAUUAAUACUCCAUAAUAUAUUGAACGGCAUCGUUUAAUAUUGAAAGCUCCGGCGGAUAGAGAUGGGCACGCGCAAGAUUAGCUAGAUGGUAAGGUAACGGCUUACCAUGGCAAUGAUGGGUAGGGGUCCUGAGAGGAGAUCCCCCCACACUGGUACUGAGACACGGACCAGACUCCUACGGGAGGCAGCAGUGAGGAAUAUUGGACAAUGGGCGCAAGCCUGAUCCAGCCAUGCCGCGUGCAGGAAUAAGGUCCUAUGGAUUGUAAACUGUCUUUUUAUACAGGAAGAAACACACCCUCGUGAGGGUACUUGACGGUACUGUAUGAAUAAGGACCGGCUAACUCCGUG